UAGAACCCUAGGAGGGAAAUUGUGAUUCAGGAUUUCAGGUACACUGUUCUUAUAUCUCUCUCUCUCGCACACACACCAUGGGCGUUUGAACUGCAAUUCAAAUUCUACCUCCCAUCAAAUCUCAAAGUCAAGCAGUAUCAAUGGACAGCGACACCGAAGAGUCGCUUAGGAAGAGGCAAAAGAGGAAUCCAUUUCCUGGAGACUCUUCUCGCAAGCAUCUUGAACUGACUCCGAUGCGCCAAUACCAAGUAAUGGGAGAAGUGAAUUUCUUGCAAGAGGAAGAUAUUCGGUUGGAGACUACACGAGCUAGAUUUGCAAAUGCUCUCAAGAGGCAUGCAGAAUUGGCCGAGCGUUUUUCUAGGGAUUCUGAUAAAAUGAUAUUUGAGCGCCUACAGAAAGAAUUUGAAGCUGCACGCGCAUCUCAAACUCAAGAGCUUUAUUUAGACGGUGAAGAAUGGAAUGAUGGACUACUAGCUACAAUAAGAGAGAGGGUUCACAUGGAAGCUGACAGAAAGCAAAUGCAAGGAGACUCAAAUAUGGUGCCAGAUCAUCAUGAAGAAAAAAGUACAUAUAGAGCUGGAAACAAGGUGAUUUGUUGCUUAGAAGGGGCAAGAAUUGGCAUUCAAUAUGAGACAUCUUUUGCAGGAGAUCCUUGUGAGCUGUACCAUUGUGUACUUGAGAGCAAGUCAUUUCUUGAAAAGAUGACUGUCCUUGAACAUACCAUUCCUUUCUUUCUGCCAAUAAGAGAAGCAGAAAAUGAUCUUCUUUCUUCCAAUGCUAUGCGAUUUAUAGAUUAUGUUGGAGAACUUCUGCAGGCAUAUGUUGAUAGACGGGAACAGGUACGGCUUAUUAAGGAGUUGUAUGGAAAUCAAAUUGGAGAGCUGUAUCAUAGCCUUCCCUACCAUAUGAUAGAAUUUACACUGGAUGAUUUUGAUUGGUUGCAAGGUGACUGUUGGUCUUAGAUAUGCGGACCUUGUAUCUGUACUUCCAACUCGAGUCAAAGUAUUUGCUUGGCCAAUGAACCAAUUCAAGAAAAAUGGAGCUCUCGGAACUCACCCAGGUCCUGUUCGCCUAUCUUAUGCUGAGGAUGCUUUAAGAACCAUGAGUUUACCAGAAGCUUAUGCAGAAAUUGUAUUGAAUCUGCCUCAAGCCAUUCAGCAAAUGUCUGUAGAAACAAGCCCCAGUUAAUGCUUUAAUAGUAUUUUAAAUAUGAAAGCAGCAAGCACCACCCACUUGCUGGAAUGAGGCCUUUCUGAACUCUUGGUCUAUUAAUGCUCUGUCCGUCUCUUUCAUUUGAAGUGGGUUGAAGCCCAAGCAUCUGGUACCAAAGGUUCUGCCACUCCUGAACCAAAUUCCAGUUUACAAAGCUGUAGCAUGUAGUGACUCAAAACUGUUGCUUAGCAUAGAAGACCUUGGUUAAUCAUGAUUCCCUCACAGUUGAGUUGUGAAUUAGUACCAUAUGAGUGGAAAUGAACUGGGUUUCAUCACUUUGUAUAGGCAUUAUGAUUAAAUGGAAGCAUAUAGCUAACAAACAAUUCAAAAUUUUGCCAUUACCUCAUUCGUGAGCCAUUUGGACAUCAAAUUGUUUCGUUGUGGUUUGGAUGUCACAUCAAUGGGCAAGUUAUGUUAUAUUUACUCUCA
This is an RNA transcript of Manihot esculenta (cassava), 1641 nucleotides long. It is a transcript of the gene named centromere protein O, with no coding region annotated. The record is from RefSeq and is a predicted model, not a curated record. The transcript is spliced from 13 exons. Lineage: Eukaryota; Viridiplantae; Streptophyta; Magnoliopsida; Malpighiales; Euphorbiaceae.